RNAcentral lists this long non-coding RNA (24611 nucleotides) under Triticum aestivum (bread wheat). RNAcentral's name for it is "long non-coding RNA (TAES_LNC021005)". The record is from RNAcentral. Lineage: Eukaryota; Viridiplantae; Streptophyta; Magnoliopsida; Poales; Poaceae.
UUUUUUCAGGGUUUUUCGAUGUUUUGGUUUUUCUCCGGUCUUUCUUAGAUUUUCGAUAAAAAAAUCGAAAAAAAAUUACGCAAAAAAACGCAUUUUCUUUUCUUUUCUUUUGCGAAAGUCACGGUUUUUUUCCGCGAGAGGCAUGGUUGUGCUUUAGCGAGAGUCACGACUGUGCCUUUCGAAAACAAAACAAAAAAUGUGUUUUCUGUUUUUUUUUCUUUCGCGAGUCAUAAUUUUGCUUCCGCGAGAGGCACGGUUGUGCUUUCGCGAGAGUCACGACCGUGCCUCUGGGAAAGGGAAAAACAAGACGCGUUUUCUAUUUAUUUUUGUUUCGCGAGUCGCGGUUUUGCUUCCGCGGGAGACACGGUUGUGCUUCCGCGAGAGUCACGGCCGUGGCUCUCAGAAAGGGAAAAUAAUACGCAUUUUUUGUUUUUUUUGCGAGAAUCACGGUUUUGCUUUUGCGAGAGGCACGGUUGUGCUUUCGCGAGAGUCACGGACGUGUCUCUCGAAAACGGGAAAAAAACGUUUUUCUGUUUCUUUCCUUCUAUGAGAGUCACGGUUUUGCUUCCACGAGAGGCACGGGUGUGAUUUCGCGAGAGGCACGGGCGUGCCUCUUUCGGAAAGUGAAAAAACCCGUACUCCCAAUUCGGUUUUUUUCGUCUAUUUUUUUUGAAAAAAAGUUCAUCAAAACCUAUCAACAUACGAUCUAAUUUUGAAGAUCUCGACGCGAGUAAUCCAAUGGCAAAAACGGUUCGAGAUUUGGAUGCACGAUUUAAAAGAUAAAACAUUUUGAAUAAACAGAUCUAUGAAAAAAGGAAAACUCCCAGAUUACAACAAGUGGUGGGUUGUAUGUGCUCUACUUGUCGCGACCUAGAAAAAUAAAGUAUUCUUUGCAACGAAUACUCUUAAUUAGUGAUUUCGAUGAUAUGUGUUACUUUUUUUUUUGAAGAACAUGCUUUACUUUAUUGCUCAAUAGAACGAAUUACAGGAAUAAUAGCAGUAUCAUGAGGGUGUAACAGCCAUACAUGGCGACCCUCCCCUAAAUGUAAAGCAUGUCGAGCUAAGCCAUGAGCCUCCUUAUUGGAGAGACGUCUCUCAUGGACGAAAGAACAAGACUGAAACUCCCUACUCGAGUCGAUGAUCUCUUGCACAAUUGGAGUGAUUGUACCCAUAGUGCCAGUAUGUAUGUCCUUGACCACGGCAAGGCAAUCAGAAGCUACCUUCAAAUGAGUAAGUGCAAGGUCCCUGGCUAAUGCAAUAGCCUCGCGGCAUGCCAAAGCUUCCAGAAUAUGUGGAUCGGUCAUGCCAUGGAAUACCACCGAUGCUGACCCAGCAAAAGUUCCUGAUUGAUCCCGGCAAACCGCACUUAUGGCCCCGACAGGAGGUUGUUUACAUAUAGCAGCGUCGACAUUAACCUUGUGAUGACCCGCCGGUGGUGGAAUCCACACAGGCGUCCGCUCUGGGGCUGUUCUCGGCUUCGUUAUUUCAUGUGACAUAGAAACAAUACUCAAAUCUGCCAGAAAGCGUUUGAUAAAUGAGUGAGUCCCCAUGGGGCUCUGGUGCUCCCCUUCGUGGAUCAGCUUACGCCGUGCACCCCAUAUAGCCCAUAGUGUCACAGCUAGCUUCGUGAACUCGGAAUGCGGCAUCGAUUCUUGCAUACUGAAAAUCCAAGCCUUUGCAUUCGGUUCUGCUGUUGCGAUGAUAUGCUCAACCAACUCCGGGUCAUCUAGCGCCCACACGCACCGCGCCAUUGUGCACGUUAUGAGUGAGUGCAUCCAUGAGUCCUCCUCUCCACAGAUGGCACACCGCGACGAUGUAGACAUAUUACGAUGACGGAGUACAUCCGCCGUGGGUAUAGAGCAUUGUGCAAGUCUCCACAGGAAUACCUUCAGUUUUGACGGCACCGCAACCUUCCAGAUAUUGGACCAGCUGGCUUCCUCUCUCUGCCUGUCAGCCGGGCCGGAUCGUCCUUCAAGCCAAGCCUCCCGCCUGAGCUUCGUAUUGAUUAGCAUCCGAUAUGCCGAGCGGACGGAGAAGGCACCCUUAUGUUCAUGAGCCCAAGCCCAAGAAUCUCUGCAGUGUCUUGUGGCUAGCGGAAUAUUGAGGAUCACCUCCGCAUCAAUUGGAAGGAACGUUGCACGAACUACUUCCUGCUUCCACCUGGCAUUUGCGCUGGCAAUGAGUUCAGACACGAACUGCGGCCGAUGUUGGCUCAAGCAUACUAUAGGUCUGAGUGACGCCUCUUUGUGUAUCCAGUUAUGCUGCCAUAUCAAUGUAUCCCGACCAUCACCUAUGCGUUUGAUGAGACCCUGCGAUAGGAUCUCCUUGCCCUCCACGAUCGCUCGCCAAAUUUGUGAUGGUUGGUUACCUAGGGAUGCGUCAAGAAAGUCUGUCGUUGGAAAGUAGCGUGCUUUCAGAAUUUUUGCACUUAGGGAUUCAGGUGUUUGUAGGAUUCUCCACGCUUGUCUUGCCAGCAGAGCGAGGUUAAACAGCUCGAUGUCUCGAAAACCCAAUCCACCUUCAUAUUUCGGCCUUGUCAUCUUCUCCCAGGAGACCCAAUUUGUCUUCCUUUCGCCCCGUUUACUCCCCCACCAGAACUUUCGUAUGAUGGAGUUGAUAUGAAGACAGAGGCCCCGAAGCAGCUUAAAACAAGCCAUAGAGUAUACCGGGAUAGAUUGAGCGACAGACUUUAUAAGUACUUCUUUUCCUCCGGAUGACAACACCUUUUCCAUCCAUCCCUUUACUUUGUUCCAGACUCUAUCCUUCAAAUAUUUGAAAGCCCCGUUUUUGCUGCUCCCUACAUCCGUAGGCAUGCCCAAGUACUUCUCUGGUAGACUCUCAUUAUGAACAUGCAGGGUAGUUUUCAUGCUCUCUUUAACACCCUGCGAGCAGCCUUUGCUAAAAAACACUAAAGAUUUGUCCAAGUUUAUUUUCUGUCCAGAAGCAUUACAGUAUGAUUCCAACAAAGAGGAUACUUGAAUAGCUCCCUCAACACUAGCCUUGACGAACAGCAGGCUGUCAUCUGCGAAAAGAAGGUGGCUUACCGGCGGAGCCAUAUCUGCCACUCUGAUCCCAUGCACUGGAGAUGACUCUGUCUGGUUUUUUAAAAGGCUCGAAAGGCCCUUUGCUGCCAACAAGAAUAGGUAAGGUGAUAUUGGAUCCCCCUGUCAAAGUCCUCGUGAAGGUGUAAAUUUCUCCAGUCUUUUUCCAUUGAACAUAACCGAGAAUUUGACUGAACAUACCAUCCUCAUAACUGAGUUGACCCAAGCCGGUGCAAAACCCAGUUUGGACAUGAUAGCACGGAGGUAGUCCCACUCCAAACGGUCGUAGGCCUUCAUCAUGUCAAGUUUAAGGGCACAAAACCCAUUCCUCUUAGAUCUAUUCCUCUUCAUAAAAUUUAAACACUCAUACGCGGAGAUGAUAUUAUCCGUGAUAAGCCUUCCCGCCACAAAGGCCGAUUGCUCCUCCGAUAUGAUCAUAGGAAGGAUGGUCUUGAGCCUGUUUGCCAUAACCUUCGAUGCAAUCUUAUAGAGUACAUUGCAUAGACUUAUAGGGCGAAACUGUGACAGAAGUGUGGGAUUUGUUACCUUGGGGAUGAGGACGAGGAUAGUAUCAUUCAGCUCCUCCACAUCUUCCUCACCCCUCAGGAUUUUCAAGAUGAUAGUAGCCACUUCAUCCCCGCAGAGCUCCCAAUUUUUCUGAAAAAAAUGCGCAGGGAACCCAUCAGAUCCUGGAGCUUUAGUAGGGGCCAUCUGAAACAGCGCCGUUUUAAUUUCCUCUCUGCUGUACUCGCUCAUCAGCCGCUGGUUCAUCUCGUUUGUGACUUUGCGAGGAACCACGUCAAUUACUUCAUGCAUAUUCAUUGUCCCCUCUGAUGUGAACAGAUUUUUGUAGAAGGCCGUGACCAUGCACUCCAUCUCUGUUGCAUCUUCUGCUGUAGUUCCAUCAUGUCUCAGCAGACAUUUUAUCUUGUUAUUAAGGCGCCGCCUGCUGGCCCGUAGGUGAAAGAACUUGGUGUUCUUAUCACUCACCGCCAGCCAUGUUAUUCGUGAUCGCUGACGCCACAUUACCUCCUCUCUGUGAUAGAGCUCGAUCAGGCGAUCUUUUACUUUCUCUUCCUGACGAGUAGGUGCCGUCCUCGACGGGUCAGCACGCAUGCUCUCUAGCUGAAGCUUUAGAGAUCGAAUCUCCUCCUUCACACUGCCAAACGCUAGUUCGGUCCAAGUGUUUCAGAUUUGUUGAGAGCGUUUUAAUUUUUGCACAUAGUUCCGCAACCGUGGUUGCUCCUGGGCCUUGCCAGUGUUGUUCAAUUGUCGCCUGGAAACCCUCGUGAGAUUCCCACAUCAUCUCAUAUCUGAAGGGUCUAGCUUGCCGUGGCUGAUCAUCUACGGGUGAUAGUUGUAGCAAUAUCGGUAUGUGGUCCGAUGUGGUGGCAGAUUUGUGAGAUAAAACUGCUCCUGGAUACAUGCUGGACCACGAUGGGGUGGCAAGUGCCCUAUCAAGACGCACUCGCGUGUAUGUUCCUCCGGCUACUCUCUUUUCAAACGUCCAGUUGUUUCCCGACAAGCCUAGAUCAAUAAGGCCACAUGUGUCGACAGCAUCCCUAAAACCAUUCACCUGUGUCAUGCACCGGUGACCAAUCCCGUCAUGUUCAUUCAGACUCAGUACUUCAUUGAAAUCACCGAAACACACCCAUGGCAGACCGUCAUCCUCAGCGAGAGAUCUCAACACGUCCCAAGUCUUGCCUCUAUCACUGACUUGUGCUUCACCGUACAUCACUGUGAGCCGCCAUGGAGAAGCACCAGGCAAAGUAACAUGAGCAUCUAUGUGAUAAGCAGAGUAACCAAAAUUUUCAAUCUUUAUUUCAUUAUUCCAAAAAAUACCGAGACCACCACUCCUACCAGAGCUACUAACAGCAAAUGAAUUAUCAUAACCUAGGGUGCUUGCUAAGUUUUCCACUCUAUCUCUCGGGAGUUGAGUUUCAACAAUACAAAGCACCAACGGGGCAAACUGCCUCGCGAAAUCGCGAAGCUCUCGAACUGUCGCGGGUUUGCCCGCCCCGCGACAGUUCCGGCAUGAGAGACUCAUUGGACCCGCGGCGCUCCUCAGAGGAGCCCGCCACGCUGUCCAUAUUGCUUUUGUUUGGGGAACUACCUUGCUUUUGCUUCUUUCUAUCCCUUGGGGUAACAUAAGGUGGUGGAGGAGGAGGGACAACACUGGCCCCUUGCACAGAUGCAUCAAGCGAGCCACCUCUGAUGCUCUCAUCAGCCUGCUUAUCCAUGUUCAACUUGCGACUAACCGUGGUCUGUGGCCGGACGGUCCCAACAUCAACGCCCUUGUCCUUGAGAGGGCUCUCAGCCGUAUCUUUGAGAUCAUCAUCACCAUCUUUGUCAAUUUCCUCACCUAGACCGGCGUCCUCAGAUGAUCGUUUCUUGGCUCCAUUGUUUCUUCCGCGGCCGCCACCACGGGCUCGUCCACGUCCUCGUGUGGAAUUCCCCCUGUUCCAGCUCGGGUCACGGUUCUGGUUAUCCGGCAUGGCUCUCCUGGUUGCUUUCAUCCACUCCUCGUAUUCAACCUCCUCGGGGCUGUGAACCCCAUCGCCGCACUCUUCCAUGGAAUGGCCUAGGACGCCACAGACUUCACAGAAGAAGCCUAUCUUCUCAUAUCUUACUGGCAAGAGAAUUCGCCCUUCCCCUUUGAUGUUCAAUGGGGCAAACCGCACCAAAGGAUCAGCUAGUUUAAUCUUCGCCCGGACCCUAACAUAGUUGCCUUCAAAGACUCGGUUAGGGUUCAUCUCCACGCUCUUCACCUGACCUAUGCGACGAGCUAGUUGGUCUACAAUUAUCUCCUUCCUGUAGAGCUCCGGGGUAUCAUGAAUCUGCGCCCACACAUGGACUCGGUCGAGCUGAACUAGAUCUGGUUUACCUUUGCCAUCAUACUCCUCAAUUGCCACCAUAAGUCCCCUAUAGAUCCAAGGGCCCUGGUGCAUAACUCUGUUCCAAUCACCUAAGCAGAAAAGUUGGACGACGAACAGAUUGUUAUCUGCUUCGCGGAUAUCUGGCUCGUGGGCAAGUCUCCAUGCGAAAAUCAUUGUGUUCUUGAAGGACUCGGCACUGAAGUACUUCGUCGUGUUCACCCGUGCUACCGCUAGCCACCGGGACUCCUUGGACAGUUCUGCAAUUUCCUCAUCGCCAACUAUCACGUCAUCCAGCUCCGUCUCCUUCAGCUUCAUGUUCCUCAUCGCCGCUUCCAGGUCGAUCGGAGUCUUCCCCUUCCUUCUACCUGAACUAGUACUCCCCCCUCCAUUGGAAGAAGUCGCUCCUGCCAUGGCUGCAGUUAACCCUAGAUCGCCGCACCGCACCGAGGCCGGGUGGAAGGACAAAGCCGACCCCUUGAUCAGCCCGAGCGCAGGCGUGGGAUGGUUGGGAUGCGCAGGCAGGUUAUCCGGAUCCUCGACGGCGACGAACCGCGCCGGAGUAGGAAAACCCUAGUCGCCGGGGCGGCUAGGGUAGGUUUUUUGGAUAGCUCUCCAUGAUAUGUGUUACUUCAAGCGAUAACCUGCGCCCGCAUCGCACGUGGAAAACGAACGCAAGACUCUACAUGGGCCAAUGGGCCAGUGGUGAAUAGCGCACGGGUCUGUUCGUAAUGUUUCCAGAUAGAGUUUUUCAUUGGGUUUCCGUUUACAAACCGGAUCUUUUAGGUAAUUUAAAAUUCAACAAAAAAUAAAUAUACGGAAAACAUUCUUUAAAACAAUGUUCAAAAAGUUCAUAAAAUACAAAAACUCUUCCUGCAUUUAAAAAAUGUUCACAAAAUUUAAAACAAUCAUGAAUUAAAAACAAUUCAUGAAACUAAAAAAUAUUCAUGAAUUCUCAAAAAUGUGUAUGAGUUCAAAAAAAUCCAAAAAGUUGCAAAAAAAUCAUAAAUUAGAAAAGACACGUGUUUGAAAUAUGUUCGUGAAUUCAAAAACAAUCACGAGUUGGAACUCAAAAAAUAUUCAUGAAACAUGAAUUCAACAAAUAUCCAUGAUUCAUAAAUUCAAAAAAUAUUCAUGGAUUUUAAAAAAAUGUUCUUCAAUUCAUGAUAAAUUUCUCUACAAGUGCAUAAAUGUUUGUAGAUUAGAAAAAUGUUCAUGAAUUAAAUAAAAUUUAGUAGUUUAAAAUUGCCCAUGAAUAUGAAAAAUGUUCUUGAAUUAUAAAAUAUUCAAUCGAAACACAAAAGUUUAAAAAUUAUGAAUUAACAGAAGAAAAUGAUGUAUGAAAAAACUGAUCAAUAAACCAAAAAAUCUGGUUGUGAUAAUAAGAAAAAGAAUGUCUUGGAAGAUUCUCAAAACCACCAGCCUACCCAAAACCUGAUUGGAUGCUCACAAGAACCUUUUGAAAAACGCUCGCUCAGGGCACAUCCUCUUCAUUAGUGCGCCAACUCGCUCAGCGAUCACUGUUAGCGAGCUACAAAAUGCUGCUCGCUAUAAGCAAUAUAUGGCACUCGUAAUUUUAUAAAUUGUCACAUCAAAAAUUUAUACAAUUUCGUAAUGUCCAUCUGCCAGAUAAAACAUGUUUCAAAUGGAAAUUUUUUGUUUUUUUGGUGUAUAAGACAUGACAAUUUUUGAAAUUGUUUUGUAAGAGUCACGUGGCAAAUUAUAGAUGUUGUCAAGUUUAAAUCAACUAAAACAAUUAUUUUUCAUGUUUUUGUCUCAUUGCACAUGGCAAUUCUAUUUGUGACAUUUCUGGAUUGAAACUUGUCUCAUGGCAAUUCUAGAUGUGACAAUUCACAUGGCAAAUUCAUAAUUUACACUAUAGUAAUUUUAUUAGUUAAACAUAAUGGCAUUUUUAUUAAUUAAACCAUGGCGAAUUUAAUGACCAGAUCAUGCUAGUUUUAUUGUAGGUAGCAUGGGAAUUUUAUUGCUUACACCAUGGCUUUAUUAUUUAGACCACAAUGGUUUCAUUGUAGGUAGCAUGGACUUUCAUUAUUAACAUCAUGGCAUUUUAUUAAUUAUACCAUGGUAGCUUUAUUUUUGUCAUGGCAACUUGUUUGAAUAAUAGUCAUCGUACAAAACGGAAUUUAAAACCUAGUUUUGGCAUAGAAAUAAAUAUCUACUGACUUCAAUUUCAUAAGGUUUUGGAGAAAACUUUUUCCUUCUUAAUUUUCCAUGUGAACACUUCACAUUUUCCCAAAAAUUUCAUGACUUGCAUAACAUUUUUCUCUUAAAGUUGCCAUUUGAGGUAGCACCCAAGUAAAAUGGGCACUUUUCAAAAGCACGAGGGGUGUGGGAAGGAUUUUCAUGAUAACCAUAGCUAAUAGAAAAUUAAUUGCCACAAAAACUAAUAAUAUACACUACAUUUGCCAUGGUGGUAUUUACUAUUCAUGGCAUGCCAAUUUUAUUAGAUAUAGCAUGUCAACUUUUGGCAUGUCAAAACAACUUGCAACUUUUACCAUGGCAAAAAUCUUAAAACCUUUCCCAUGAUUUUAUCAGUUUUUACAUUUUUUGCCAUGGCAAUUGUCACCAACCCAUUUAUCAAUUUUGCCAUGUUUUUUUUGGAAUUUAAGUUGCUAUGAUUUUAUCUUUUUGAGUACUUUUUAACCAAGAUAUUUUUUACAUGGCAACAUUAUCAUCAUACUUAAUUGUCAUUUUACAUCCAGACAGUUUCCAUCAUGUAGUAUAAGUUUUGUCAUUCUAUUUUUUUUGUUUCAAUAGUUUUUUGUUUCAGUUGGCAUUUUUUCUUCGCCCCCUACAAAAUGUAUGCAUUCUUUUCAUGGCAAUUAUACUAUUUACAUCAUGGUAGUUUCAUUAUCCAUAGCUUGGCAAUUUUUUUGGCAUGUCAUCUAUUUUUUUCUCAUCAUGACGAAUCUAGUAGUUUUUACAUGGAAUUUUUUAUAUAAUCAGCAUGGCAAAAUAUUGCAUUACAUCAUGGUAAAUCUACCAUUUCUUUUUUUGUUGAUUGUUUUUGAAAUAGCUAACCACUCAUUUCAAGUGGUAGUAAAUCUAUCAGUCUUAAUAUGGCUUUUCUCAGUGCUGGCAAUUUUUGUGUUUCUCACUUAAUUUAAGUUUUGUUUAUCAAGGAACAUCGUAAGGGGGUUGGCAACUAGAUGUUGAUUGUUUGCCAUGGUAACUUAAAUUAAAUUGCCAUGACAACUUAAUUUACAUUUGUAGAUAUUUUGCAUGUAGGUAAUUUCUUUUUUUCAUAUUGGACCAUGCAAAUUUGCCAUGCCUUUUUUACAAAACAUAAUUUCUCUAGAUUUGUCAUGAGACCAGCACAACCAUUUCCCAAAAUUUAUCAUGUUUUUUACAUAAUUUUCCCUUACCAUUUGCAAUGGACUAUGGCCAACUUCCAGUUUCCAACGUUAUUUCAUUGGACCGUUGCAAUUUCCUGUAUGUUUAUACUUUUUUUUAAUAUUUACCAUUCAAAUUGUCCAUCUAGGUAUUUUCUAUUGUAGUGCGCAAUGGCAAUGCCAUGCAGGUUCUUCUUUUGUGUGGUGGGUUUAGCAUGUGGAACAUGGCAAUUUUCAUAUAUUUUACAUCAUGGCAAUUUUAUAUUCCCAAAAAAGGAUGAAAAAUCUUUGUUUAUUGUUUAAGUGAUGUACUUUUUCAUGCUUUUUUGUUAUUUUGUGCUUCAUGAAUUAUGCACACAUUUUCUCUUCCCUUUUUCUGAUGGUAACUUUUAUGUUUUUUGAGUUAAUUUUUUUGUUUUAUUAAGGGCAACUUAUAGCUGGCAAGGGCCAUAAGUAAGCUUAUAGUUGGGCUAGGCCGAAGACAAAAAAGGACCAGUAGGGAAGGGUGCAGAUCGGCUCGUAUGCAACCCGGUCAUUUCGCGUUGAGACCUCCUCUUUGGCGCCCUCGGCGCCGCUUAGGCUAGUUGGCGCUCGAAGGCGAGCGGUAGUGGGCCGACCCAGCAUCGCUAGCGGCCAACAACAUGCUCAAAAACAAACGGAAAGAAAUAUAUUCACCAUUAUUAUUCCGUGAGGCGUCGGAUUAAAACCCGCAUGCCAACGUCGAUGGACUUGACGCAAUAACCACAACAUGGCGAUUAAUUUGAUGUUUUCUAUCCGAAAAUAGUGAUAUUUGAGUCUUGUUUCAGUCCCAGUAUAAAUUAUUUGAAAAUAGGAAACUUAAUUUCGAAAAGGAAUUCACAAAUUUUAAAAAAGUUCAUGGAUUUUAAAAAAAGGUUCACAAAAUAUAAAAAUAUUCAUCAAUUUAAAAAAGAAGUUCAUGAAUUUGAAAAAAGUUCACCAGAUAUUUAAAAAAACAUAAAUAUGACAAAAGGUCAUCAUUUUUGAUAGAAAAAGUCCACAAAUUUGAAAAAAAGUUCAUUGGAUUUUGUAAGAAGGUUCACGGAUUUGGUUUAUCAGUUUUUGUCGAAAAACUAUUUAAAUUUGAAAAAGGUUCAUUGAUUUUGAAAAAAAAAUCUCAGAUUUUCAAAAAAAGUUCACAAAUUUGUAUAGAGUUCACCAGAUUUUGAAAAAACAAAUCAUGGUAUGAAAAAGUUUAUUCAUUUUGUUAAAAAAAUGUUCACCCAUUUUGAAAAAGGAAACAAGAAAAAAUAGAAAGAAGAAAAGAGGGAAACGGAUGUAACAAAUCACAUCAGGAGAGUGUGUAGUUGGCCAUAGUAGCUAACACUAAAUGAGGAGACCGCUGGUUUGAAUCACACCUGCGCACAUUUUUUUGCAGUUNNNNNNNNNNNNNNNNNNNNNNNNNNNNNNNNNNNNNNNNNNNNNNNNNNNNNNNNNNNNNNNNNNNNNNNNNNNNNNNNNNNNNNNNNNNNNNNNNNNNNNNNNNNNNNNNNNNNNNNNNNNNNNNNNNNNNNNNNNNNNNNNNNNNNNNNNNNNNNNNNNNNNNNNNNNNNNNNNNNNNNNNNNNNNNNNNNNNNNNNNNNNNNNNNNNNNNNNNNNNNNNNNNNNNNNNNACAGUUACAUGCAAAAGGGUAAAUGGGGUAGGCCCGUGCCGAGGGGUGUGUGCAUCCAUUUGCGAAAGCUGAAGUAAUGGGCGCUGAAGACGCCGAAUAGGGUUUGCGGACCGCGCUCGGGGGCUGGGGGUAUUUGUGUAGUAAAGGUUUUCAUUCUCUCAAGGGCCCCUUCAAAUUUGAUGUUUGAUGCAUAUUGGGGUCCUUUUACUGAUUAUUAGGCAGAUACAUGUCCAAUUGCAUUGCAUAGAAGCAAUCAAAUAAUUAGGGAUUACGUAAAGAACAUGGGAUGUGAGUCCAUAGGUCUAGUGCCGCCCUCCCACAUGUAUGAACAGCUUCAUCGGCACUUCUCCUAGCAAAUGAAAUUUUAAUCCCUAAAAUGAUAAGGGACGCGAUUUGAUCUCUCUAACCACAUGGAAUCCCUAAAAUGAUGUAGCAGCAUUUCUCAUUCAAUUGGAGUUUCUCCUCCUUAUCUUCAUUCCCGUCGAGCUGCAGUUGUAUACAUGUUCACGACCAUGUAAACCUUAGUACUGAAUUGACCCGAAAUUACGAAGCCAAGCCAUAAAUGUGUGAACAAUGCGGUGGGAAUCGUGGACUGCAUUGAACCACGGAUUCGCACGGCGCAAGUGGCCACACGCCCACGUCACAAAAUUCAAUUCGACAGGCCUUAUUACGAAACCUGGACAUCCAGAGUUCCAGACCCGAUCGACCACCGCGCGCCCGCCCCCUCAACCGAUCAAACCGAUCCUAGAAAAGUCCACCCACCACGGGCAACAGGAUGUCGAGCACCGGCGCGGCGGGCCCGGACGCCGACGCGGCGGCCGGCGAGGGGCUGGAGCUGGCGCAGUUCGGGGCGGGCUGCUUCUGGAGCGUGGAGCUGGCGUACCAGCGGCUCCCCGGCGUGGCGCGCACGGAGGUGGGCUACUCGCAGGGGCACCUGGACGGGCCGACCUACCGCGACGUCUGCGGCGGCGGCACCGGCCACGCCGAGGUGGUGCGCGUGCACUACGACCCCAAGGAGUGCCCCUACGCCGUGCUCCUCGACGUCUUCUGGGCCAAGCACAACCCCACCACGCUCAACAAGCAGGUACGUGUUCACCGCAAAAAAAAAAAAAUACAAGCAGGUAGGAGUACGUGAUGCGAUCACUCUACCGCUGCUCUUGCCGUAAGUUGGAGCGCAUAGUGUGCCGGCCAAGCCGGCGGCCGCCGUUGGGAACUUCGGGUGCAGAUCUCGUCGCCGGUGUCGCAUGGUUCAAUGGACCUGGCACGGGGUUGAGGGUUGACUUAUUCUCAGUGAUUAGUUGGUUCGCGUAGUUAUCUGGCUCGUUAAUACAGAGGAGCGAAUAUUCUCUCUUCUUCGGAACGAAAUACUUUUAUUUAAGAUAAAGUAGACGAUUUCAAUCUCAAAGGGGAUUCUUGUGGUCAAAGAGUAUAUAAGGCCUUUUAAGCCUUUUCUUGAUUCGUUUGUAUCUAGACUCGACAUAUUUUAGUAGGUAUGUUCAUUCAUUUUAAUAUGUAUGUAGUCAAUAUUUUGAAAUAGCUAAAAGGAUCAUUGUAUUGCCUCGGCGGAUAGGAAAAUUCACUACACACUUCAUCGUAUACACUUUUUAAUGUGAUCGAUCCAUAGUCCUCUGAGAUUUCCGAUGCACUGUCAACAUUACUGUCUCCUUUCAUAAACUUUUCUCACGAUAUGCACAAAUUCUGAGAGUUCCCUCAAGUUGUUGAUCUGACAUAACAAAUCUUCAGUGUCUCCCCGUUUUGCUAUGGUUUUACUGCAUGUUAGCAGCAUUUGGCCUCCGCACAUGGUUUACAAACCAAUUUGUCGUUGCACUUCAGGGCAACGACGUCGGGACGCAGUACCGGUCGGGCAUCUACUACUACACGGCGGAGCAGGAGCGGCAGGCGCGGGAGUCGCUGGCAGAGAAGCAGCGAGAGUGGAAGGAGAAGAUCGUGACGGAGGUCCUCCCGGCGAGGAGGUUCUACCCGGCCGAGGACUACCACCAGCAGUACCUGGAGAAGGGCGGCCAGUCCGCCAAGAAGCGCUGCUCCGACCCCAUCCGCUGCUAUGGCUGAGCCUCAAGGUCAUGGAGCACUGCCCCAGUCUCCGCCCGCCAUUGCAGCUAGCUAAGCAUCGCCAUUAGCAUCAUAAAGGACACACCAUCUGCCUGCCUGACUGUUGGUGUUACAAUAAAUAAACCCAUGCGUGCAGCGUGUAAAGGUGAACUUGGCGCUUUUGUUUGCUCGAUGAUCUAUGUUUAUUUUGGUGUUUGCCGUGUACAAGUUUUGCAAGCGGGCAUAAUCCACUACCACUAGCGUUCAGGCUUCACUCCUCUGUAUGGGCGUUUGAAUUUGGGGGCGAAUCAGCAAUUCACCGUACAACCCGUGGGGCCCUGGCAAUGAGAUGCACUUGCGCUGUGUUUUCUCCUUAACUAGAAAUCCUCAUUCCAUUCAUUCAAAAGGGCUAAAGCUUUGAUCUCUCACCACAUGACACAUGUGGUGAGCAAUCCAAACUAUUCAAAACAAAGCUUUAAUCUCUCUCAAGAAAACUCCAUUGAGGGAUAAUGGCUCCAGGAGGAGUUGUUGAUCGCCUCAACCAUCUGCUUCAAUCACGUCGUUGGCUAUGCCCCAUUCUUGUUUCAAUCCACUUGGGCUGUUGGGUGGGCUAGCAUAUUACCACUAGCAUGUUUCCCUUUGGACGUUUGGUUCUGGCGAAACCGCAACAUUAUAAAAUGAUGACAGCGUCACCUCAAAAAAAAAUGAUGACAGCGGCGGGGCAGCCAAAAGAAGAAAAUAAAAAUGAGCCAAUUAUCGUGCUUCCAUCUCCCAACUGAGCUUACACCGUUGACUCGAAGAAGACCACCACGAAAUUCCCGAUCUCUCGCGCGCUCCUGGAUCUUGUAAACCUCUACCAGAAGGCAGCGCGGGUAACCUCCGGUGGCCGUCGCAUCUGGGCCGACGACGAUCAAGAAUGUCCGGCGGCGACCUGCGCAGCCUGGCGGCGGUCUCGGCCACGGUGACCGCGGCCAUGUGCUACGUCCGUUUCGCGGCCGGGCGCCUCCGCCCGGGCCUGCCCCGCCUCACCGCGUUCCUCCCGGUGCUCGCCGUCCUCCCGUUCCUCCCCUUCGCCUUCAGCGCCAUCCACCCGCGCGCCAUCUCUGGGUUCUUCCUCGCCUGGCUCGCCGAGUUCAAGCUCCUCCGCCUCGCCGCCGGCAAGGGGCCCCUCCACCCGUCCCUCCCGUUCCCCGCAUUUGUCGCCGUCGCCUCCGGCCCGGUCAGGCUCCACGGCGACGGGCCCGACAAGGCUCAAGGCACGUCGUCGGGCCUGGACCUCGCCUCCUCCGCCGUCAUGGCCGCGCUGCUCGCCGUCAUCGUGUCGCUGUACUGGUACCAGGAGGCGAUGAACCAGUACGUCCUGCUCACCCUCUACGCGUUCCACGUGUACCUGGCCCUGGAGCUGGUCCUGGCGUCGGCGGCCGCGGCGGCGCGCGCGCUGCUGGGCAUGGAUCUGGAGCCGCAGUUCGACCGGCCGUACCUGUCGGCGUCGCUGCGGGACUUCUGGGGCCGGCGCUGGAACCUCUCUGUCCCCGCCGUGCUCCGGCCGUGCGUGCACCGCCCCGUGCGCGCGCGCCUGGGCACCGCCGCGGGGGUGCUGGCGACGUUCCUGGUGUCCGGGCUGGUGCACGAGCUCAUGUUCUACUACAUCACGCUGCGGCCGCCCACCGGGGAGGCGACGGCCUUCUUCACGCUGCACGGCGCGUGCGCGGUGGCGGAGGCGUGGUGGGCGAGGCACGACGCGUGGUGGCGCCCGCCGCGGCUGGUGGCCACCCCGCUGACGCUGGCAUUCGUGCUCGUGACGGCCUUCUGGCUCUUCUUCCCGCCGAUCACGAGGCCCGGGGCCGACAAGCUGGUGAUCGCCGAGUGCGAGGCGGCCGUCGCGUUCGUGCGGGGCGCCGGGGCCUGGGCGGCUGGCGGACUGAGCGCUCGUAGUACGGAGACGGCGGGUGCGUCACGCCUGAUGCGCCCGCGAAGAAUGGCUCGUUGCUCAGGCGGCAAUUUUUGUGUGUAUUGCGCCUAUGGCUGUCGAGUUGUUAUGAAAAUGUACCGAAACAAAUCGAUAGCUUGGUUGCUCGUUUAAUUUUUACUCCCUCCGUUCUAAAAUACUAAAAUAGAUGACUCAAUUUUGUACUAACUUUAGUACAAAGUUGAAAUAGAUGACUCAAUUUUGUACUAACUUUAGUACAAAGUUGGGUCAUCUAUUUUGAAACAGAGGGAGUAUAUUUUUGCGGAAUGGUUACUCGUUUAUUACUCGCUUCUCACACCAAUGAACUGACGAUGGUUGACAGUACCAAUGGCACACCCAAAAUACGGAGCAUCAGAUCACAGCACCAGCAUAGAAAUGUGCCAAUCAAAUUUGUUUCAAAUCCAUAUAAAUGUCCCAAUCCAAAUUUGCUUCAAAUCCAUGUAUUUAAAAAGUUAUUUAUAUAGCCUUCGGGUGCAGGCCAUGCAGCCUCUUUCCUAUCGUUCCUCGACACCAAACUGCUGCCGAAUGUUCCAUAACCUGAACAUGUACAUACUCCUCAUCUUUUCAAGUUACAGUACAGUACAUUUCAAAUCUCCCAACAUAGGCAAACAAGCACCUGUAUGUUCCCGCGAUGCAAAAACUAGGUAUCACGCACUGGCGCUCAAAACACCAGUUCUCAGUCCGUCACCGCUGAUCACCCCCCACAAUGAAUACUUCAUCUCAUGGCCUCGGCCUCUUGAUGUCUCUCUCGGCGCUGCGGUCAUUGCUCCUGUGCUCGUGCGCGUCCUUCCUCUUCCGGUUGUCGGGGCCAGGAGAGCGGUAUUCCUGGCCAUCCAGGGACAGCUCGCCCUCUUCGGUGUUCUCCGCCUUGCGAGCCGUGUUCUGGUGAUCCUCCCGGUGCGCGGGGUGGGGCCAGCUCUGCCUUCUGUCGUGUUUUUUCUCGUCCUCGGCAGCCAACUCCACGCCAUGUUCCAGCUCCCUCUCAAUCAGGUCAUCAUCAUCCAUGACGUCCACUUUCCUACCAGCAUCGCCUUUCGACUUCCUCCGUUUCUCCAGCGCAGCUUUCACCUUAUCCUUAUCUAUCUUUUUCAUCGCAUCCAUCAUUGAUGAGGACAUAUUUGUGCCUUCAUUGCUGUUGGUAGUGCCAUCCCUUGCUUCACUCUUGGGUAUCCUCUGGUUUGAGUUCUGCUUUUCAGGCUGAGGGUGGUCAUGCCCAUGACGGCCUGGUACGCUCGACUGUCUAGGUGCUUGAUGAGUUUCAUGGGCAGGAGGCUCCUCAGAUUUCACAGGAGCAUGCUGAUUAACCACACUUGCAGAGCUGCCUUCGGUGUCAUUCCCUUGUGAAGGUGGUGGUCCAACACGGUUCUGCUCGUAGAGCUCCAACAUUUGGUUGCUAACCUCUGAAAACAAAUGUCACAAAAAAUAUAAGAAUGGUUCUUUGGUAUGCAUCUUACUUCACAACAAAGAGCAUAAAAACCAUCACCAUGACAGAAAUGGAGUAAAAGGAGCAUCAGCUCUAUAAAAAUAGAUAUAUAUAAUAACGGGCAAUACUGCUCAGUACCGUUGCAAAAUCACCAAGCUGAAAAAUACAGUCUGCUGCUUAGUGUGGUCCCAGGUCCCACAUGCCAUCCACAUGUUAGAUGAUAAUUUCCAAACUAUACCUCAUUGUGAUGCUACUAAGCAAAUUUUCUGUAUAACAGAAAUGACAACAGGCAAGGGCUACCAGAAAAGUUGUCCUCCAAGUCAACACUCAACACCAACAAAAAUACCUCAAGUCCCAUAAAUAAGGCUACCAAAUACAAGUUCAUAACAAUGUGUUCGUGUCAUGGCAUUCCCUUGUGCAUUCGUAUCCCAGAACAAUAAUACUCCGUUUAGAAAAGGAGCACAUCUUAACAACAAGUCAACAACUCGCAUACCAAGGAGUUAAGGGGGGUUGUUUAUUAGGCUUAAUGUAUUUGCUCAUGGAACCUCUUGUGAUAUGUAUAUCAGUUUUGCCAAAGCACAUCUAGAUGUACCAUAAGUAUUGCACAUCUAAGUCCUAUCCCAUUGAUCUUACGUGGAGAUUCGUGUGAUACGUGUAAGUAUUGCACAUCUAAGGCUUUGUUGUUGUUGUUGCUGUUGUUUUCUUUUUAUGUUUGAUUGAGUUACUUAGAUGUUCAAUAACUAGGGCACAAUAUAAUCUUGCGUGCAUUGGCUUGCUGCGCCUCGAUUUCCUAAUACGCGCUGUAAUGUGAAAAGGAAGUAAAAAAAACUAAGACAAGCUUGCUCGAAUUAUGAAAAGGAGGGAGUACUCUGUGCACCUCACAAAACACCUUGUGUCUCUGACCUAACCAACCUAGUUCCAGUAUCAUUGCUGAACUAAGAUUAAGAUGGUGAUGAAAUUUUGGCCAUCCAAUCUCAUAAGCGCCUAAAGCAUGGGAACAAUUGCUGCUUGCUUUCAAAGGCAUUUAAACUACUAUCCUUACAAUAAUGCAUAGUAAAAUUGUGCAAAUAUGCAAUACUGACUAUGUAUCUAGGGACCAACCUUCCAACUGACGUGGAGUUACAUCAAACUCUUGCCACCAGACCUUUUCCCCGUCUGCUGGAAGCUUGACUUUGAGGAACUUUGCAGCAAGGAAGAUUGCGCCGGCAGCAAUAUGAUGGGGCUUAAAUUGCAGGCAAAGCGAAGUGCGUAGCCUGUACACCCCUUUUAAGGUAUAGUAAAUAGGCAUAAUGGGGGAUUACUAUUUUUGUAAGGAUAAGGGUAAUUUCAGCAUACCCAUCAUUGACAAAAUUCCAGGCAACUUGAGCAAGUGCAUUUUGAGCAACCUUGAAUUUUUUUAUUGCUUCAACCAAAGGCUUGUAAGGGUGGUGCACAUUCAUGUCAAAACCAAGUGUUACAAGCACAAGGCGCUCCCCGAUCAAAAGAAGUUCCUUCUGUUGUUCAUACACUUCCUACACACAACAACACAAACCGUUCUUGUCACAGUACUCAGGAAAUAAAAAUGCACCAGCUAUAGAAGAGUUGCAGCUUUAUGUUGUGAGGGAGAACAAGUACAAAAAAGAUUAUGUGUGCUAUCAAGAAAAUGCUCACAAAAAUAAUCUCACCUUCUGCUUAAUUCGGGCGACUGCAGCAGGAUCCUUUUUGUGGAUGAUCUCAUAAGAGAUGAGUACGACAUCCUUCAGGGGUCUAGGUGUUUCUUCAACUUUACCCGCCAAGAACAUGCAAACUGUGGCUAUUGUCUGCAGAUUAUAAUGAACUUACAUUGACGACAAUUUGCAACAUGAAGUUGAGUAUAAGAAAAAUACCACCCCUAAAAAAUAACAUAUUGCAAGCAGCAUGCUCUAUAUUGUACGCUAUCCAAGAAAAAAAAUACUUAGGGCCGCUUUGAUUCACAGGAUUUCUAAAGCAAAGGAAUAAGAAAAACACAGCAAUAGAGUGUCAUGUCUUCUUCAAUACCCCAAAAGCGUAGGAUUCUUAACAAGAGGUUGGAGUAGAUGUAAAUUUUCCUUCGAAAUCUAAUGCAAAUGGAUCAAGGGAGAAUUUAUGUAGAUUGCAAUCCUACAAAUCAAACGACCCAUGUAGACACAAUCCUAAGGAUUAGAAUCGUCUAAAAUUCAUUAAGAAAUCAUUUGAAUCAAAGAUGCACUAUAGUGUUAGCCUGCAUGUCUUUCCUACAGAGCCAAACAAAAUUUACCAUAUCAUGGAAUCCAAUAAGAUACAUGUUCUAAGGCGACAACAAAUCAUUUAUUCUUCUCUUUCACAAUAUGGGUGGCGAGCAUCAAUGUUUGAAUACAUGUUAGUAUACUGCCUACCAUGCAUAGAAAACGAUUUACAGAUAAAGUAGAAAAUAUGUUGUUUGAUAACAGACAUAUAAGCUCAUAAAAAUUUCAGCAAGGCUUACCUGUCUGUCAUUUUUGGCAUGAGAUUGACGAAGGAAAAAACGAUGACAAAAUACUAUAGCUGUAGCAAUUGUUACUUGGGGCCUACAUAAUGAAGUAAUUCAUCAAUAAGGAAAGAAAAUACCGUAAACAACUAUCAACCAACCCAAGAGAGCACAAUUCAUGCAGUAAUACAACGGGGUCUUUACUGCUUCAUAAACAUUCAUGGAGCAAAUGUUCUAAGGGCACAUAAAGGGCUAUAAAACACUAAAUACGGUUGAAUAUUUACUGUUCUACCUAGACAAGGAUGUCAUCAGCCAUUGUUCCAUGCCCGAUAAAAACAAGUGGGCUAAAUGUAACAAAUCAAUGAACAUAACACUGGGGUAAGGGCCAAUAUGUUACGAAUUCUCUAUAGUAAAAAAAUCAAAGAAUAUAAAGGGACUAUAUGUUAAGAACUUAUUCCUUAAAAUGCCGUGUGCUGAUGAAGAAAACAUCAACCCUUUUUUAAGGGAAAAACUGAGUAACAAUAUGUUAAUAACUUAUUCCUAAAAUGCCAUGUGCUGAUGAAGAAGACAUUUUUAAAGGUAAAACCUGAAUAGUAGUGUCAUCACAGGCAUAUCUAGCAACUUUCAAACAUAAAUAUCAUAUUAACAAGCAUGUGCUAGCAAAUAUCUCAGCUGAACAAAUUAAACAUGGCUUGAUAAUUGAGAGCUUUACCAUCAAAUUAUUCACAUCAAAUAGUGCUAAAUUAUCUCUGAAUGUUGUCACAGAAAUAAAGUUAAGAUACAAAGCUAACAAGCAUGGAGUGCACAUAAAUGCUCAAAAAUGCUUAGGCAGAAGAAAAACUGGACAGGUCAACGAUCAGAUAAUUAUCAAAUAUCUAACAUAGUACAUAUAUCGCAUGAUUAAAUAAAAACAUUUAGUCCAUAUAGUCAAGUAAAAUGCCAGGAAAAAGCAGACAAGUUUUUCUGGAUGGGGAAAUGAUUAAACUAGCACUUGAGCACUCAGCAUGCUUGGCAACCUAUCAUGUAAGGACACUAUGUUUAUUUUAAACCUAUGCGUCAUGUUCCCUCGAUCACCAGAGGUGAUGCUUGUGUGAUCUUCUGAAUAACAUCUGCAUCCCUAACAUCUUAUGUUUUUAACAAACAUACCUCACAGUGUAUGCUUUAGCUAUUCCUCCCAUCAAAUAUUAUCAUUAAAUGUAUGUUGAUUCGCAGCCUAAGAGUGUCUGAGCAUGUCAGACACUUGCCUAACUAGGUCAAACAGGCAAAGUGUGUCAGGGUUUGGCUUCCAACUAAACAGGCCCUGACAAUCUGUCCAUAAAGGUUAUAGAACAUAGUCAUGCACAGUAUAUACAAGAACUGUCAUAAAAAAAUGCAAUCAUUUAUGCUUUAAGUGUGCAGUGUACUUUCCUCAGGUUUUGAAAAUAAAAUGAGGGUAACACCAAUCAUAAAGUAUCUCAGAUAUUCUUAACGGGAAAUGAGAAAGAAACAAAAACUGCUUGAAUGAAAUUAAGCUAUAGGAAAACAUCCAGUUAUCUGCAGAAACUUGAAAAGAACUUUCAAGAUUCAAAUAAUACUGCUAAAACAUCAGGUAUAUUACUCAGUAAAAGAUGUAACAAUAAAAUACCCAUGGUACAAUAUAUUCUUACACUUUAAGCCUCAUCCCGAAAUCCUGAAGGAAAGUGCAGUAUGACUUGCGAAGGUAAGACUCCUUCUUUAAAUCAAUACCAUCUCUCCUUGAAAGGGAAUUCUCUUCUAUUUCUUUUCUACUAAAAUACCACGAAGCACCAAGUUGAUCACCUUCCACACGUCUAUCAUAGGGAGUUGUAUAAGGGCUGUUCUCUACAAUUCCAUGAUGUGAAGAAUCACUAGUCUGCAUGAUAUCCAUCUAUGAUUUUCUUCUUUUCUUACAAAAAAACCUGGCAAAGAGAGAGAUAUAAUGUCACCAUUGCAAACUUAGUACCAUAUAAGCAUACAUAAACGGGAUGGAAGGUGCAGCUAUGCACGUAGCAAACUGCAUACAUAUUUUGAAAUUUAACAUACAGUAAGUUGCGAGGAGCUAAAGGCAUCAAACUAUAUUCCCAAUACGUGCAAAGGAUGGGUGCUAUAUAAUAACAAUGAAUCCAUACAGCUUUGAUUAACUGCUUGUCCUGUCCUUCAUGGAAGCCCAGUAAUUCAAACAAAUUUGUGACAUGUGGAAUAUAACGAACGGAAGGGGUUUCUUAAUUACAGCGAUGAGUCAGGGCCAGGAGGACCACGUGAAGGCACCAAAACUUGGCUUGCGUCAGGGGCUCAGGGCAUUGGCGGGAGAUGCUGGCGGCGAUGGCGGUGUGUCAGCGCUAGGCUUAGGUCGCUAUGUGCAAGAGGAGAUGGGUCGAGGCGAUUUUUUCCAUCCGGGUCAGCUGAGUCCAGUGGUAUUUGCGGGUAAUUCUGAGCAACUCAUCGUUUGGCUAGAUCUGGAAUCCUGGAAUCCCUCGCUCCAGAAAUUUGCAUACGCCUAGCCCAGAUAUACCAAUUCAGCUCACAGAGUUAUAUCGUUCGGGGCAGUCCAUGUGCUCCGUCCGCAGAGUUGGGAGCUGGAGGGCUAUGGAGUGGGGCCUUAAUCACCCCAUAAAUCAAAUUUUUGUACAAUAAAAUAACCCAUAUUUCCAAUAUUAAGUUCAUUACAAUUCAUGAUCGGUAAAAUCAACUUAAAAAGCAAUAAAUACUGCAACACAAAGUGUGCUCCUGCCAAAUACGAGACGUAACAAAAGGCAAUAAUCACGGUUCAGAUUUUUCUGAUGAUCAUGAAAGUCGAAUAUCAAAUCCUUUGACAAACUUGUUACAAGCAGACAAUGGUAGAGGAAAGGUAUCUUCAUAGUUAUUGAGUAGGUAACCCAACGUGAAACCUACUGGAGAGUUCAGUUUACAAGUGUGUUGUGUUCUCAAGGUGUUUUCCCAGCUACCGAUCAAAGCACAAGUUGUUAGUAGCUUCACUGAAUGUUAGAACUCAAUACAAGAGCAAAAUUUGACCACCUAACUGACAUUGUGCAGAAGGGAUUAAACUAGAUUAUAAAGCUAAUAAGUUCAAACAUGAACUAUCCCACUCCAGACUCCACCCCAACACAAAAGUAACACAAUUAUCUAAAGCAACACAACGCAAAGCUGCACAUUUUUUUAUGCAACUGUGGGAACCUGCAAAACUCUCAAUUUUAUACUUACAAACCUUUUUUUACAGUAUGUCUGGUUUCGAUCUGAUCCGACAAUCCUAAUGGCCUAAUCUUAUUCCCUGACUCUUCUUUUGCAUGCCUCAGGAAAAAACUCUGUUUUUACAGUAUAUCUAAUAUAAAAACCUUAUUAGUAGGACAUCCAAUUUGCCUUGUCCAUCUAUUGCAUUCCAAAUUAAUCAUUACACACUAUAAAGAAAACCGAAUCUGCCACCAAAUUGAUACAGACUCGGCAGAUUUCAGGCAUUUAUCAGAAGUAAUGGGUCCAUACCUUGCUCGGGAGAGGUGGAACCGGCGCGGAUGGGAGGUUGCUGGAGGGGCCGGCUGGCGGGCAGCUUCCGGAGGUCGUCGUGAAGAAGCAGAGGUGACCUCCUGCCGCCGUCGCCGAGGGGUCGCGGACGAGGCGUGGAGGGUGUGUGCGUGGGGGGCUGGGGGGCGAGGGAGAUAAGAAAUCAGGCGGCGGCGUGAUAUUGCCUGUGGCCGGCAACGGAGGGGGAGCGGACGGGGCGGCGGCACAAACCCUAACACCGCCGCAUCGCCUCUGAGGUCGCGUGCGACGGGGAAACGAGGGGAGAGAUGGGAUUACGGGAGGUGUUUUUUUCUUUUCUUUGACGGGACGGGUGGUAGUUAAGAACGAUAAGCGACGGUGCUGGCAAAUAAGCCGGAAAAAAUCAGCUGGUUUUUUCAUUCCAAUCUAUACUUCUGUACAUUGAAGGGUCAACUUUUUAAAUUCUUUUUACAAAUUACUAGUAAACGUGCCCGUGCGUUGCCACGGAUGACAAUGCAGUUGAACAUUAAGUUAUAUGGAUAACUUCUUGAGGAUGGAAUGCAUGGAUAGUAUCAUGAGAUGAUACUAAAACCAACAAAAUAUUCUUCAACCAUUAUAAUGCAUGGAUAGUAUCAUGAGGUGACACAAAAAUUAUUCAAUCAUUGAUAGGGUAGGCGCAUCAAUCAGUCUUGUUUCAAUUUGGUAUGGAGCAGAUUUUUAGUUUAGGUAUUGUUCGGAUGUCCUUCAACUUCAUGCUUCGCCAACUACGCGGAUCGUAGGAAGUCGAAAUCACAGAGCUUAAUACUCCCUCCGUUCCAAAAUAUAGCGCGUCCUCGGUUUCCGUGCUUCAACUUUGACCAUUAAUUUAAUCAACAAGACCGACUGCGGCGGGCGAAAAAAUUAUACCAAUGAAUUCGUAUUCAAAAAAAGUUUUUAAUUAUAUAAUUUUUGAUCCCGCCGCAGUCGGUCUCGUGGGUUAAAUUUAUGGUCAAAGUUGAACCUCGAAAAGCGUGGGCGCGCUAUAUUUUGGAACGGAGGGAGUAUAUUUUCAACGACAAUGCCAUCACCAAGUUGUGUAACACUUAGUUGCGAAACGAACCUGGUCAAAGCGCUAGCCAUGACAUCACCAUUGUUCCCUUCUCACGAGCCCGCCAGGGCCGACCGCCAUCCCUCCAGCUCAUUCUAUUCAUCUGCUGCCCUGCCAUUGCCUGUCGUCGACUUCCUCCAUCCCGUCUCAAUCUUCCACACCAUUGGCCUCCUCCCCAACAUCGCCAUCUUCCCCGGUAUAGAUAACCUCCUCAACAUCCCCAUCGUCGGCCUAUGCUAUGUUCAUGACGAACCCCUCAACCAACAGAAGCUGACCAUCACGUCCCAAACGGUAUGGCCCUUCCCCAGAAGCUGGAGCGUGGCACUGAAGCGUCAACAUUUCUAGACAUUUCCGAAACCCCGACACUGCCAUCUUCCCUGGUAUAGACUACCUCCCCAUCGUCGGCCUAUGCUAUGUUCAUGACGAACCCCUCAACUAACAGAAGCUGACCAUCACAACCCAAACGGUGUGAAAGUUCCACGAAAGCUAGAGCGCGGUGCCGAAACUUCAACAUUUCUAAACAUUUCCCAAUAGGCUUACAUGUAUGCUUCUUGCCCCAGAGUUGCCACCCCGUGGAAUAUUUUAGCAAUGUUAACUUUAGCUAGAAAUAUAUAUCUCCUCUAGUAAUAGCUCAUAUAGAAAAAUGAUGGUUUUCACUUCUAUACUCUGCAUGUAAUCUUUCAUCAAGCUCCCACACAUAGAUAUAAAAUCACCACCAUUUGACAUUCAGUCAUCAAUUAUAAUAUUUCUCUAAUGAACCUUUUUAUUCUAUUUUUUGCUGGCUCUAGUAUAUCAUAAAUGCUAAAAUGAAGAGAUUUGAGGAUAUGUUAUAAAUUUCAGUGUUGCUACAUCUACAAUCCAUAUAAUAAACAAUAGUGACCCGUAGCUCAUACAUGUACAAUAUCCAUGUUAGAAGGUUCGUCACUCUUUCCUUCUCCAUCCUUGCUACAGUUAAGAGAGAGAGUAUGCAUACAAUGUGUUAUCCUUGCAAUAUGAGAUGCAAAGCACAGACCCACAACGGUAUUUCAAAUAGGCACAAGAGAGAGAAUAUAUUGCAUUACUUCUAUAAGAAAUAUAAUAGUUUGAAUAAAUUGGUAUCCAAGUUUGUCACUUAAAGAAACAUGUUUCCUGUAAUCUAGACACUUGAAGCGGGCAAGCAGCUAAAAUAAACUUAAUAUGAAGCUCUACAAUUCUCCCAUUGGUUCUGACAUACUGCAAUUCCCUCGUUGGUCCUGACAUAUUGGAUCCUUCAUCAUGCAUCCUGGGUUAAG